This 842-nucleotide ribosomal RNA is filed under the name Clostridioides difficile. RNAcentral's name for it is "partial 23S ribosomal RNA". It matches the Rfam family "Bacterial large subunit ribosomal RNA", at positions 730 to 1577 of the family's 2925-position model. Lineage: Bacteria; Bacillati; Bacillota; Clostridia; Peptostreptococcales; Peptostreptococcaceae. The record is from RNAcentral.
CUACCCAUGAGCAGGAUGAAGCGAAAGUAAAAUUUCGUGGAGGUCCGAACCCACGAGCGUUGAAAAGCUCGGGGAUGACUUGUGGGUAGCGGUGAAAUUCCAAUCGAGCCCGGAGAUAGCUGGUUCUCCCCGAAAUAGCUUUAGGGCUAGCCUCAAGGUGAGAGAUACGGAGGUAGAGCACUGAAUGUCCUAGGGGGUAUUGCACCUACCGAAGACUAUCAAACUCCGAAUGCCGUCAUCUUAUACUUGGGAGUCAGACUGUGGGUGAUAAGAUUCAUAGUCGAAAGGGCAACAGCCCAGAUCGUCAGCUAAGGUCCCUAAAUGUAAGUUAAGUGGUAAAGGAUGUGGGAUUGCACAGACAACCAGGAUGUUGGCUUAGAAGCAGCCACUCAUUCAAAGAGUGCGUAAUAGCUCACUGGUCGAGUGAUCCUGCGCCGAAGAUUUCCGGGGCUAAAACUUACUACCGAAGCUACGGCAUCAGUAAUGAUGGGUAGGGGAGCUUCCCAUACGGGUUGAAGCAUGACCGUAAGGACAUGUGGACAGUAUGGGAGUGAGAAUGUUGGCAUGAGUAGCGAGAUGUGGGUGAGAAUCCCACAGGCCGUAAACCCAAGGUUUCCAGGGGAAGGUUCGUCCGCCCUGGGUUAGUCGGGACCUAAGCUGAGGCCGAAAGGCGUAGGUGAUGGACAACAGGUUGAUAUUCCUGUACUACCGAUAACCGUUUGAGAGAAGGGAUGACACAGUAGGAUAAGCUAAGCACACUGUUGGUUAUGUGUGCCCAAGCAUUGAGGCAGUCAAAGUAGGCAAAUCCGCUUUGAUAAUGCUGGGAUGUGAUGGGGAGCGAA